UUUACCGUAUCUAUAAAUGCUAGGACUCAGGUAGCUUUGGUCCAAACCCGCUGACUUAUGAAACUGCUCCGGUGUAGCAGAAGCUAAAGCUCUAUAAACUCGUUCCAAAUGAUAAGGCAACCCUAAACUGAAGAUUUUUCUGCAUUUCAGCUUCUGGAUGCAAACUCCUUGGAUUCUCUGAAGAGACUGGUUCAUUCACAAUUGGGAGGAAACCUAUUCAUAAUAAGUAGAAAACUAUAAUUUCAGUACUUCGUGUGUGUGUUUGUUCAAACUGCUGCACAAUUUUUGUUACAAUGUCUAUGUUGUCAAGAUUACGCUGUAUUACUGUGGAUGUCACUGGUACACUGAUAGCUUACAAAGGGGACCUUGGUGACUACUAUUGCAUGGCAGCCAAAGCUAUUGGACUCCCUUGUCCUGACUAUAAACGUGUUCAUGAGGGCUUUAAACUGGCAUAUAAAGAGAUGGCGACAAAGUAUCCAUGUUUUGGUUAUGCAGCAAAAAUGCCCAACGUUGUCUGGUGGAAAACUUGUGUCAGAGAUUCCUUCAUCAGGGCUGGAUAUGACUAUGAUGAGGAGACAUUUGAGAAGAUAUUUAGACGCAUAUAUUCAUCGUUUGGUUCAUCUGCACCAUAUACUGUCUUCGCAGACUCUCAACCAUUCUUAAGAUGGGCACGUGAGAAGGGUCUUAAAGUUGGGAUUAUUAGCAAUGCAGAAUACCGAUAUCAGGAUGUAAUCCUUCCAGCCUUGGGUUUGAGACAAGGAACUGAGUGGGACUUUGGUGUGUUUUCUGGUCUUGAAGGUGUUGAGAAACCAAACCCAAGAAUCUAUGAGAUAGCCCUUGAAAAAGCUGGAAAUAUAGCACCUGAGGAAACUCUGUACAUUGGAGACAGCUUUCGCAAAGACUACGUCCCUGCAAAGAGUGUGGGAUUUUGUCUUGCCAGUCACUUGGUCCUUUGUAUCUUCUCUUCCACCAUCAAAGGCAAUUAGAAGCCAAAUGGGGAUGAAGCUUGGAGAGAAGAAGAAAAUAAAUGAAUAUGGUGGAGCUAAAAAUGAAGUUAUAAAUGGCUCGAGAGAACAGGUAGCUAAAUACAUGCAGAAGAUUCUGCAACAAAGCGUUAUGGCUUCAGGUGCAAGGCAUGCACUUUCAGGCCCACUCGAUGUUGGUGGUAUUGAUGCUACUAGAUAUCUUGCUAAUGAAAAGCAAAAAGCUUGGGGAUCCUGGACAUAUGCACUUUUUUGGAUAUAUCAAUUUGGUUGUAUUAUAUAAUGUCUACAGUUUGUAUAUAUUGCAUUACUCUAUGUAAUCGCGGAAAUGGAAAAUAAAAUGCCAACCAGAAAAUGAGCUUUGAUAUUCUUCAUGUAUUGGCCAUACGAUGGAAGUGAAAUGGAUGGAUAGAAAAGAGAAAGGCACAUCAUCAAACUAAGGAGGCAUAGAAGAAAAUUCGGUUAAAACUAGUUAAGUUGGUUCAACCACCUUUAUAGGUAAGAUUUUAUUA
This is an RNA transcript of Mangifera indica (mango), 1495 nucleotides long. It is a transcript of the gene named haloacid dehalogenase-like hydrolase domain-containing protein 3, with no coding region annotated. The transcript is spliced from 6 exons. Lineage: Eukaryota; Viridiplantae; Streptophyta; Magnoliopsida; Sapindales; Anacardiaceae. The record is from RefSeq and is a predicted model, not a curated record.